GAACGCUGGCGGCGUGCUUAACACAUGCAAGUCGAACGAAGCACUUUACCACGAUUCCUUCGGGAUGACGGUUUAGUGACUGAGUGGCGGACGGGUGAGUAACGCGUGGGGAACCUGCCCCAUACCGGGGGAUAACAGCCGGAAACGGCUGCUAAUACCGCAUAAGCGCACAGUACCGCAUGGUACGGUGUGAAAAACUCCGGUGGUAUGGGAUGGACCCGCGUCUGAUUAGCCAGUUGGCGGGGUAACGGCCCACCAAAGCGACGAUCAGUAGCCGGCCUGAGAGGGCGACCGGCCACAUUGGGACUGAGACACGGCCCAGACUCCUACGGGAGGCAGCAGUGGGGAAUAUUGCACAAUGGGGGAAACCCUGAUGCAGCGACGCCGCGUGAGCGAAGAAGUAUUUCGGUAUCGUAAAGCUCUAUCAGCAGGGAAGAAGGAAAUGACGGUACCUGACUAAGAAGCACCGGCUAACACGUG
This 480-nucleotide ribosomal RNA is filed under the name uncultured bacterium. RNAcentral describes it as "bacterial SSU rRNA". It matches the Rfam family "Bacterial small subunit ribosomal RNA", at positions 31 to 507 of the family's 1533-position model. The record is from RNAcentral.